RNAcentral lists this ribosomal RNA (415 nucleotides) under uncultured bacterium. RNAcentral describes it as "bacterial SSU rRNA". It matches the Rfam family "Bacterial small subunit ribosomal RNA", at positions 971 to 1374 of the family's 1533-position model. The record is from RNAcentral.
UAUCCUGGGCUUGACAUGGCAGGACGUAGUUCGGCGGAAACGUCGGACGACCGGUAUCCAAUCCGGAGCCUGUCACAGGUGCUGCAUGGCUGUCGUCAGCUCGUGUCGUGAGAUGUCGGGUUAAGUCCCAUAACGAGCGAAACCCUUGUCUCCAGUUGCCAUCAUUCAGUUGGGCACUCUGGAGAGACUGCCGGUGUUAAACCGGAGGAAGGUGGGGAUGACGUCAAGUCCUCAUGGCCUUUAUGCCCAGGGCUGCACACGUGCUACAAUGGCGUGCACAGAGGGAGGCAAACCCGCGAGGGGGAGCAAAUCCCAAAAAACACGCCCCAGUUCAGAUCGGAGGCUGCAACUCGCCUCCGUGAAGGUGGAAUCGCUAGUAAUCGCAGGUCAGCAACACUGCGGUGAAUGUGUUCCU